GACGAACGCUGGCGGCGUGCUUAACACAUGCAAGUCGAACGGAAAGGCCCUGCUUUUGUGGGGUGCUCGAGUGGCGAACGGGUGAGUAACACGUGAGUAACCUGCCCUUGACUUUGGGAUAACUUCAGGAAACUGGGGCUAAUACCGGAUAGGAGCUCCUGCUGCAUGGUGGGGGUUGGAAAGUUUCGGCGGUUGGGGAUGGACUCGCGGCUUAUAAGCUUGUUGGUGGGGUAGUGGCUUACCAAGGCUUUGACGGGUAGCCGGCCUGAGAGGGUGACCGGCCACAUUGGGACUGAGAUACGGCCCAGACUCCUACGGGAGGCAGCAGUGGGGAAUAUUGCACAAUGGGCGGAAGCCUGAUGCAGCAACGCCGCGUGCGGAUGACGGCCUUCGGGUUGUAAACCGCUUUCGCCUGUGACGAAGCGUGAGUGACGGUAAUGGGUAAAGAAGCACCGGCUAACUACGUG
Molecule: ribosomal RNA, 467 nt
Filed under: uncultured bacterium
Lineage: Bacteria
Description: partial 16S ribosomal RNA
Rfam family: Bacterial small subunit ribosomal RNA
Source: RNAcentral